CAGCAGCCGCGGUAAUACGUAGGGUGCAAGCGUUAAUCGGAAUUACUGGGCGUAAAGCGCACGUAGGCGGCUUGGUAAGUUAGAGGUGAAAGCCUGGAGCUCAACUCCAGAAUUGCCUUUAAGACUGCCGAGCUAGCAGGUGAGAGAGGUAAGUGGAAUUCCGAGUGUAGAGGUGAAAUUCGUAGAUAUUCGGAAGAACACCAGUGGCGAAGGCGGCUUACUGGCUCAUACUGGACGCUGAGGUGCGAAAGCGUGGGGAGCAAACAGGAUUAGAUACCCCUGUAGUCCCUGUCUUUAUACA
Molecule: ribosomal RNA, 301 nt
Filed under: uncultured bacterium
Lineage: Bacteria
Description: partial 16S ribosomal RNA
Rfam family: Bacterial small subunit ribosomal RNA
Source: RNAcentral